This 612-nucleotide ribosomal RNA is filed under the name Triticum aestivum (bread wheat). RNAcentral describes it as "partial small subunit ribosomal RNA". Lineage: Eukaryota; Viridiplantae; Streptophyta; Magnoliopsida; Poales; Poaceae. The record is from RNAcentral.
AUGUCAGGCGAGGAGGGUUCGUCGAAGGCGCGCACCACCAGGAGCGGGUCCAAGAGAGCGACCAAGGCAGCGGUGUCCGGCGACGAGGAGUAUGCGCUGACGCGGCGCCACCGUGCUCCGAUGGAGAAGAGCGCACUGAGGUCGUGCACCACCAAGCGAAAGGCGGAGGAGUCUGUCCGCAUCAGCAGGAGUAAGGCGGCGGCGCAGGGAGCGGCGGCUGCCAAAGGCGAUGAUGAGGAGGUUCCUGCGAAGAAGGGCCGGCUGCCGCAGGAGGAGAUCCAUCGCAUCAUCGCCCGGGAUCAGGAUAGGGACCGUCUCCCCAUCGGCAUCGUGGACCUGAAGCGACGCAACCCUGACUUGAUUCCGUCGCCGGAAGAGGAGAUGGACGAGGAGAUGAUGGACCUCUACGUGGAGGCGCGCGUGACUUACCAGGUUCGGGAGCGUUUCCCAAAAUUCCGGGCCUGGGUCCGCAGCGAGCACCUGAAGAAGGGCUAUGUCGAGGUUGACAAUGACAUCCUCGUUGGAUUGGAAGAUACCAAGGCAUGGGAGGAGGAACUUAAGGGCAGACUUAGACGCAGGAAGAAUUUAAGGCAGAGCAAGCCCCAUGCAUGA